GAUGAACGCUGGCGGCGUGCCUAAUACAUGCAAGUCGAGCGAACAGACGAGGAGCUUGCUCCUCUGACGUUAGCGGCGGACGGGUGAGUAACACGUGGAUAACCUACCUAUAAGACUGGGAUAACUUCGGGAAACCGGAGCUAAUACCGGAUAAUAUAUUGAACCGCAUGGUUCAAUAGUUAAAGACGGUUUUGCUGUCACUUAUAGAUGGAUCCGCGCCGCAUUAGCUAGUUGGUAAGGUAACGGCUUACCAAGGCAACGAUUCGUAGCCGACCUGAGAGGGUGAUCGGCCACACUGGAACUGAGACACGGUCCAGACUCCUACGGGAGGCAGCAGUAGGGAAUCUUCCGCAAUGGGCGAAAGCCUGACGGAGCAACGCCGCGUGAGUGAUGAAGGUCUUCGGAUCGUAAAACUCUGUUAUUAGGGAAGAACAAAUGUGUAAGUAACUAUGCACGUCUUGACGGUACCUAAUCAGAAAGCCACGGCUAACUACGUG
This 497-nucleotide ribosomal RNA is filed under the name uncultured bacterium. RNAcentral describes it as "partial 16S ribosomal RNA". It matches the Rfam family "Bacterial small subunit ribosomal RNA", at positions 28 to 507 of the family's 1533-position model. The record is from RNAcentral.